GAUGAACGCUGGCGGCGUGCCUAAUACAUGCAAGUCGAGCGAACGGACGAGAAGCUUGCUUCUCUGAUGUUAGCGGCGGACGGGUGAGUAACACGUGGAUAACCUACCUAUAAGACUGGGAUAACUUCGGGAAACCGGAGCUAAUACCGGAUAAUAUUUUGAACCGCAUGGUUCAAAAGUGAAAGACGGUCUUGCUGUCACUUAUAGAUGGAUCCGCGCUGCAUUAGCUAGUUGGUAAGGUAACGGCUUACCAAGGCAACGAUGCAUAGCCGACCUGAGAGGGUGAUCGGCCACACGGGACCUGAGACACGGUCCAGACUCCUACGGGAGGCAGCAGUAGGGAAUCUUCCGCAAUGGGCGAAAGCCUGACGGAGCAACGCCGCGUGAGUGAUGAAGGUCUUCGGAUCUUAAAACUCUGUUAUUAGGGAAGAACAUAUGUGUAAGUAACUGUGCACAUCUUGACGGUACCUAAUCAGAAAGCCACGGCUAACUACGUG
RNAcentral lists this ribosomal RNA (497 nucleotides) under uncultured bacterium. RNAcentral describes it as "partial 16S ribosomal RNA". It matches the Rfam family "Bacterial small subunit ribosomal RNA", at positions 28 to 507 of the family's 1533-position model. The record is from RNAcentral.